RNAcentral lists this small RNA (1291 nucleotides) under Histoplasma capsulatum. RNAcentral's name for it is "hypothetical RNA". RNAcentral also lists the same sequence under 1 other name. Lineage: Eukaryota; Fungi; Ascomycota; Eurotiomycetes; Onygenales; Ajellomycetaceae. The record is from RNAcentral.
CCCGAUAUGGGUAUUGUGGACUUUUGUCGCGAACUUGAGGCUAGUCAGGGUUUCAUUUAGAUGUUCCUGCCUUGGGCUGACCAUGACGAACAUCAAGGUUUUGGAGUUACCCCCCAGUGAAAAUUGAAGCAGAUAUGUAAGCUUCGUGGCGAUAAUUAGCUCGAUACGACCAGUAGAGUGAAACGGUUGGCUAACGUACCUUGCUGUUCCUGUACGGAAUAUGUCCACCUUCUUUUCCUUGCCCAAGGGCCCCGAUUACAUCGCCCAAGCAACUGAGGCUACGGUUUAUGCUUUGAGUUUCCUUCAACCGCUCACCAGUGGCUUUGGAAUGGCUCAGCCGCUCACUGCCAGCAAGAUCAACUAAGUUAAGUGUACCCUCACUCUUUUCUCCCGUGAAGCGGUUUUCUCCAAUUAAUUUUAAGAUGAAAACGGAAUGUGAUCGAGAAGAUCGUUCGUUUGCUUUGGUUGCAGCAACUGAGCGAUUCAUGGCAGCACGUCGUAAAAUCGACUCGACGCGUGCUGGAGAAUCCAAGUUGACUGUUGUAAUGUCCGUAAUAGUUGUUUUGCAUUUUUGCAUGUCAUGGCGAAUCUCAUGUUUUUUCUUGUCGAAUUCUUCCGCUUUACCUAGUAGGUCGUUCAAAUUUUCAUUGUAAACCUCUACGAAGUUUCCUUGCAUGGUAUAAUGCCAUCCCUUUUCUUCAAGCGCACUUGCGGUAUCAUAUAUUUGGUGAACAGCGCAGGGGAUCAUACCAUCUUCAGACGACAUCGUACCUCGGUGUUUUGAGAUGACGGGCCAAAUACAUGGUCAAAAGAAUAAGCAUAGGUUUUGGUUGUGAUGCUCCCAAGACUGCUCUUCUCCUCUGGGCCAAGGACGGAAAUUUCCUUGCAGUCAGCUUCUGAAUCUGGGAAUUCGAUUCUUGCAGAAUCCUCGACGGGUUCAUUAUUAAGUAAGGGACGAACGCGACAGAAAACCCGAAUAUUUCCCUUCAGUUCCUGUACUUGAUUAUGGAGCUUUCGUCGCAAUGUCUCUUCUUUGCGCAGCUUGUCUUUUGUUGCUUGCGUUUCUGCUAGCGCAUCUCGGAGUUGCUGAUCAAGGCGGGCAAACGCAUCAGACUGUUCUUUGUUACCAGACUCAAGAAAUUCAAUCCUUGCCUUCAGUGCGCUGACGGAAGACUCCAGAGUCAUCGUGUUACUGGCAUUCUUAACCAUGUUGUGCUGGAGCUCCUUGUUGAGUGUGCGUUCACGAUCUAAAUCACUCAUCAAUUGAUUCACCUCGGCCUGAAUGUCCCUG